ACUCCUACGGGAGGCAGCAGUGAGGAAUAUUGGUCAAUGGAGGGAACUCUGAACCAGCCAUCCCGCGUGUAGGAAGACGGCCUUAUGGGUUGUAAACUACUUUUAUACAGGAAGAAACGUACCCUCGUGAGGGUGCCUGACGGUACUGUAGGAAUAAGCACCGGCUAACUCCGUGCCAGCAGCCGCGGUAAUACGGAGGGUGCGAGCGUUAUCCGGAAUUAUUGGGUUUAAAGGGUCCGUAGGCGGGCCGGUAAGUCAGGGGUGAAAGUCUGUAGCUCAACUAUAGAACUGCCUUUGAUACUGCCGGUCUUGAGUCACGGUGAAGUUGCCGGAAUAUGUGGUGUAGCGGUGAAAUGCAUAGAUAUCACAUAGAACACCGAUUGCGAAGGCAGGUGACUAACCGUGUACUGACGCUGAUGGACGAAAGCGUGGGGAGCGAACAGGAUUAGAUACCCUGGUAGGAUAGCG
This 468-nucleotide ribosomal RNA is filed under the name uncultured bacterium. Its description in RNAcentral is "bacterial SSU rRNA". It matches the Rfam family "Bacterial small subunit ribosomal RNA", at positions 335 to 799 of the family's 1533-position model. The record is from RNAcentral.